RNAcentral lists this long non-coding RNA (274 nucleotides) under Carica papaya (papaya). Its description in RNAcentral is "long non-coding RNA (CPAP_LNC012621)". The record is from RNAcentral. Lineage: Eukaryota; Viridiplantae; Streptophyta; Magnoliopsida; Brassicales; Caricaceae.
AAUUCCAGCAUGGCGCCGCCACUGGCUCACCUUUGCAGUUGGGUGUUUUACUUUGGUCAACCUAUAGAGAAAGAAAUGGUAAUUAUAAUGGUGAAAGAAUUACGUAGAACGGGAAUCGAAAAUGACAUCAUCAAAGGCAGUUUUUGUAAUUUCUCACGACAGUGGUGCCGGGCUUUGCCCGCAGUUUUCGGUCAAUCUGCCAGUCUUUUUGCUCCGAUUUGGCCAUGAAGGUGUUUAAAAUUGAAUUCCGAGCAAAAUUUUUUUUAACCUCUUU